AAUCCAUAGGUUAAUGAGGCGAACCGGGGGAACUGAAACAUCUAAGUACCCCGAGGAAAAGAAAUCAACCGAGAUUCCCCCAGUAGCGGCGAGCGAACGGGGAGGAGCCCAGAGCCUGAAUCAGCAUGUGUGUUAGUGGAAGCGUCUGGAAAGGCGCGCGAUACAGGGUGACAGCCCCGUACACAAAAGCGCAUGUGCUGUGAGCUCGAUGAGUAGGGCGGGACACGUGGUAUCCUGUCUGAAUAUGGGGGGACCAUCCUCCAAGGCUAAAUACUCCUGACUGACCGAUAGUGAACCAGUACCGUGAGGGAAAGGCGAAAAGAACCCCGGCGAGGGGAGUGAAAAAGAACCUGAAACCGUGUACGUACAAGCAGUGGGAGCACAGGUUUACCUGUGUGACUGCGUACCUUUUGUAUAAUGGGUCAGCGACUUAUAUUCUGUAGCAAGGUUAACCGAAUAGGGGAGCCGGAGGGAAACCGAGUCUUAAUUGGGCGUUAAGUUGCAGGGUAUAGACCCGAAACCCGGUGAUCUAGCCAUGGGCAGGUUGAAGGUUGGGUAACACUAACUGGAGGACCGAACCGACUAAUGUUGAAAAAUUAGCGGAUGACCUGUGGCUGGGGGUGAAAGGCCAAUCAAACCGGGAGAUAGCUGGUUCUCCCCGAAAGCUAUUUAGGUAGCGCCUCGUGAAUUCAUCUCCGGGGGUAGAGCACUGUUUCGGCUAGGGGGCCAUCCCGGCUUACCAACCCGAUGCAAACUGCGAAUACCGGAGAAUGUUAUCACGGGAGACACACGGCGGGUGCUAACGUCCGUCGUGAAGAGGGAAACAACCCAGACCGCCAGCUAAGGUCCCAAAGUCAUGGUUAAGUGGGAAACGAUGUGGGAAGGCCCAGACAGCCAGGAUGUUGGCUUAGAAGCAGCCAUCAUUUAAAGAAAGCGUAAUAGCUCACUGGUCGAGUCGGCCUGCGCGGAAGAUGUAACGGGGCUAAACCAUGCACCGAAGCUGCGG
This 1006-nucleotide ribosomal RNA is filed under the name Salmonella enterica subsp. enterica serovar Infantis. RNAcentral describes it as "partial 23S ribosomal RNA". It matches the Rfam family "Bacterial large subunit ribosomal RNA", at positions 161 to 1205 of the family's 2925-position model. The record is from RNAcentral. RNAcentral also lists the same sequence under 1 other name. Lineage: Bacteria; Pseudomonadati; Pseudomonadota; Gammaproteobacteria; Enterobacterales; Enterobacteriaceae.